This 376-nucleotide unclassified non-coding RNA is filed under the name uncultured bacterium. RNAcentral's name for it is "contains 16S-23S intergenic spacer region". The record is from RNAcentral.
UCCGAUUUGAAUAUCGGCGGUCUCACUAGAGUCCCCACCAUAACGUGCUGGCAACAUGAGACAAGGGUUGCGCUCGUUGCGGGACUUAACCCAACGUCUCACGACGCGAGCUGACGACAGCCAUGCACCACCUGCACACAGGCCACAAGGGAAUACCUAUCUCUAGGCACGUCCUGUGCAUGUCAAACCCAGGUAAGGUUCUUCGCGUUGCAUCGAAUUAAACCACAUGCUCCACCGCUUGUGCGGGCCCCCGUCAAUUCCUUUGAGUUUUAAUCUUGCGACCGUACUCCCCAGGCGGAAUGCUUAAAGCGUUAGCUGCGCCACUAGUGAGUAAACCCACUAACGGCUGGUAUUCAUCGUUUACGGCGUGAACUAC